CCACACCUCAACCCCAAAAAGACAUGUGGCGAGCAUGUUUAUCCAGUUUUAUCCCCCAUCUUCUCACCAAGAGACCUGGCUCUCAUAACCUACUCCUUCAUGCUAACCACCUGAAGGCACCUCUCCUCAUGGUCAGCCAAACAGUCCUGUGAGCCGUGAGGACUGUAACAAGACUUGGUCGCAAUUCUAUGCAACUCUGGUUCGGCCACACCUACUCACAUUCCCC
Non-coding RNA from Pelobates cultripes (western spadefoot toad), 226 nucleotides. The record is from the annotation of a GenBank genome assembly. NCBI's taxonomy places the organism in Eukaryota, Metazoa, Chordata, Amphibia, Anura, Pelobatidae.